GGACGAACGCUGGCGGCGUGCUUACCACAUGCAAGUCGAACGCUGAAGCUUGGUGCUUGCACUGGGUGGAUGAGUGGCGAACGGGUGAGUAAUACGUGAGUAACCUGCCCUUGACUCUGGGAUAAGCCUGGGAAACUGGGUCUAAUACUGGAUACGACAUGUCACCGCAUGGUGGUGUGUGGAAAGGGUUUUACUGGUUUUGGAUGGGCUCACGGCCUAUCAGCUUGUUGGUGGGGUAAUGGCUCACCAAGGCGACGACGGGUAGCCGGCCUGAGAGGGUGACCGGCCACACUGGGACUGAGACACGGCCCAGACUCCUACGGGAGGCAGCAGUGGGGAAUAUUGCACAAUGGGCGGAAGCCUGAUGCAGCGACGCCGCGUGAGGGAUGACGGCCUUCGGGUUGUAAACCUCUUUCAGCACGGAAGAAGCGAAAGUGACGGUACGUGCAGAAGAAGCGCCGGCUAACUACGUG
RNAcentral lists this ribosomal RNA (473 nucleotides) under uncultured bacterium. RNAcentral describes it as "partial 16S ribosomal RNA". It matches the Rfam family "Bacterial small subunit ribosomal RNA", at positions 27 to 507 of the family's 1533-position model. The record is from RNAcentral.